GGUGAAAAGAACCCCGGGAGGGGAGUGAAAUAGAACCUGAAACCCUGCACUUACAAGCUGUGGAAGCACAUUUCUUGUGUGACCGCGUACUUUUUGUAGAACGGGCCAACGAGUUACGUUAAGUAGCAAGGUUAAGCACUUAAGGUGCGGAGCCGUAGCGAAAGCGAGUUUUAACUGAGCGUUCAGUUACUUGACGUAGACCCGAAACCGGGCGACCUACCCAUGAGCAGGAUGAAGCGAAAGUAAAAUUUCGUGGAGGUCCGAACCCACGAGCGUUGAAAAGCUCGGGGAUGACUUGUGGGUAGCGGUGAAAUUCCAAUCGAGCCCGGAGAUAGCUGGUUCUCCCCGAAAUAGCUUUA
RNAcentral lists this ribosomal RNA (359 nucleotides) under Clostridioides difficile. RNAcentral describes it as "bacterial LSU rRNA". It matches the Rfam family "Bacterial large subunit ribosomal RNA", at positions 513 to 872 of the family's 2925-position model. The record is from RNAcentral. Lineage: Bacteria; Bacillati; Bacillota; Clostridia; Peptostreptococcales; Peptostreptococcaceae.